This 601-nucleotide long non-coding RNA is filed under the name Homo sapiens (human). RNAcentral's name for it is "HSALNT0185708". The record is from RNAcentral. Lineage: Eukaryota; Metazoa; Chordata; Mammalia; Primates; Hominidae.
CCACUUCUCAGUCUUCAUUGUGCAGGAGGAGUGAUCCGGGCGAAGUCGUGCUCCACUGUCACCUUAGCAAACCUUAUCGCCUCCUCAUAAACAUCCAGAGCUGGAGUUUUGCCAUGUCUCCCAGGCUAGUCUGGAACUCCUGGGCUCAAGCGAUCCAACGAGCUCGGCCUCCCAAAGUGCUGAGAUUACAGUCAGAUGACACCUCACAUGGCCGAGAAUAAUUUAUUGAGGAUGGUAAUUAUUUGAGCAUGAUGAGAGGCUCAACAUUGAGAAAUCCUAAUGGAAGUGAAGGCACUGAUGGAAGAACAUUGGUAGACAUUAGAGGGAGAGCCUGGAAUAUGAGCCCCUCAAUCAAACUCCCAAAGUUUUCUUGAAAAUCUGUAAACCACUGAAAUCAUUCUUUGAUAUCCUUUUUUAACCUACUCAAGGACAGGAGGCCCAGACUGGCCGUCUUUGCUAGCUGCCACUAAACAGUUUACCUGCCACCCCCUACCCACCCCCAGAGAGCAUAGAUAAGAUUUAUUGUGUAUACACUGCAGUUUUUCCUCAACCUCCACUUAUUUUUAUAAAUCCUUAACUAGGCUUCAGAGCUGAUUCCCUC